Molecule: ribosomal RNA, 253 nt
Filed under: uncultured bacterium
Lineage: Bacteria
Description: partial 16S ribosomal RNA
Rfam family: Bacterial small subunit ribosomal RNA
Source: RNAcentral
CACGUAGGGUGCGAGCGUUGUCCGGAAUUAUUGGGCGUAAAGAGCGUGUAGGCGGCCUGGUAGGUCUGCUGUGAAAACUCGAGGCUCAACCUCGAGAUGUCGGCGGAAACCAUCUGGCUAGAGUCCGGAAGAGGAGAGUGGAAUUCCUGGUGUAGCGGUGAAAUGCGCAGAUAUCAGGAAGAACACCUAUGGCGAAGGCAGCUCUCUGGGACGGUACUGACGCUGAGACGCGAAAGCGUGGGGAGCGAACAGG